AGGACGAACGCUGGCGGCGUGCUUAACGACGAUGCAAGUCGAGCGGAAAGGCCCUUCGGGGUACUCGAGCGGCGAACGGGUGAGUAACACGUGAGUAAUCUGCCUUCAGCUCUGGGAUAGCUCCGGGAAACCGGGAUUAAUACCGGAUAUGACCACUUCGGACAUCUGUUGUGGUGGAAAGUUUUUCGGCUGGAGAUGAGCUCGCGGCCUAUCAGCUUGUUGGUGGGGUAAAGGCCUACCAAGGCGACGACGGGUAGCCGGCCUGAGAGGGCGACCGGCCACACUGGGACUGAGACACGGCCCAGACUCCUACGGGAGGCAGCAGUGGGGAAUAUUGCGCAAUGGGCGGAAGCCUGACGCAGCGACGCGCGUGGGGAUGAAGGCCUUCGGUUGUAAACCCUUCAGCAGGGACGAAGCGCAAGUGACGGUACCUGCAGAAGAAGCGCCGGCUAACUACGUGCCAGCAGCCGC
Molecule: ribosomal RNA, 471 nt
Filed under: uncultured bacterium
Lineage: Bacteria
Description: SSU rRNA
Rfam family: Bacterial small subunit ribosomal RNA
Source: RNAcentral